UCCGGGCGUCGGCCUGUGGGCU
Molecule: non-coding RNA, 22 nt
Filed under: Arabidopsis thaliana (thale cress)
Lineage: Eukaryota; Viridiplantae; Streptophyta; Magnoliopsida; Brassicales; Brassicaceae
Source: RNAcentral